UUAGAGUUUGAUCCUGGCUCAGAACGUACGCUGGCGGCACGCCUAAUACAUGCAAGUCGAACGAAGUAGCAAUACUUAGUGGCAGACGGGUGAGUAACAUGUGGGUAUCUUCCCUUUGGUGAGGAAUAACACGAGGAAACUUGUGCUAAUACCUCAUAAGUCUUUACGGAGAAAGCUUUAUGCGCCAAUGGAUGAGCCCGCACUUGAUUAGUUUGUUGGUGAGGUAAUGGCUCACCAAGACUUUGAUCAAUAGCUGAUUUGAGAGGAUGAUCAGCCACAUUGGGACUGAGACACGGCCCAAACUCCUACGGGAGGCAGCAGUAGGGAAUCUUGCACAAUGGGGGAAACCCUGAUGCAGCGAUGCCGCGUGAGUGAAGAAGGCCUUUGGGUUGUAAAGCUCUUUCGUCGGGGAAGAAAAUGACUGUACCCGAAUAAGAAGGUCCGGCUAACUUCGUGCCAGCAGCCGCGGUAAUACGAAGGGACCUAGCGUAGUUCGGAAUUACUGGGCUUAAAGAGUUCGUAGGUUGUUAAAAAAGUUGGUGGUGAAAUCCCAGAGCUUAACUCUGGAACUGCCAUCAAAACUUUUUAGCUAGAGUUUGAUAGAGGAAAGCAGAAUUUCUAGUGUAGAGGUGAAAUUCGUAGAUAUUAGAAAGAAUACCAAUUGCGAAGGCAGCUUUCUGGAUCAUUACUGACACUGAGGAACGAAAGCAUGGGUAGCGAAGAGGAUUAGAUACCCUCGUAGUCCAUGCCGUAAACGAUGUGUGUUAGACGUUGGAAAUUUAUUUUCAGUGUCGCAGCGAAAGCAAUAAACACACCGCCUGGGGAGUACGACCGCAAGGUUAAAACUCAAAUGAAUUGACGGGGACCCGCACAAGUAGUGGAGCAUGUGGUUUAAUUCGAAGAUACGCGCAGAACCUUACCAACACUUGACAUGUUCGUCGCGACUUUAAGAGAUUAAAGUUUUCGGUUCGGCCGGACGAAACACAGGUGCUGCAUGGCUGUCGUCAGCUCGUGUCGUGAGAUGUUGGGUUAAGUCCCGCAACGAGCGCAACCCUCACUUUUAGUUGCCAUCAUUUAGUUGGGCACUCUGAAAGAACUGCCAGUGAUAAGCUGGAGGAAGGUGGGGAUGACGUCAAGUCCUCAUGGCCCUUACGUGUUGGGCUACACACGUGCUACAAUGGCAUUUACAACAGGAAGCAAAACGGCGACGUUAAGCAAAUCCUAAAAAAAUGCCUCAGUUCGGAUUGUACUCUGCAACUCGAGUACAUGAAGCUGGAAUUACUAGUAAUCGCGGAUCAGCGCGCCGCGGUGAAUACGUUCCCGGGUCUUGUACACACCGCCCGUCACACCAUGGGAGUUGGUUCUACCUUAAGGCAAAGGUUAAAAACUUUGACCACGGUAUAGUCAGCGACUGGGGUGAAGUCGUAACAAGGUAACCA
Molecule: ribosomal RNA, 1439 nt
Filed under: uncultured bacterium
Lineage: Bacteria
Description: bacterial SSU rRNA
Rfam family: Bacterial small subunit ribosomal RNA
Source: RNAcentral